UACGGAGGGGGCAAGCGUUGUUCGGAAUUACUGGGCGUAAAGGGCGCGUAGGCGGCCCGCUAAGUCGAACGUGAAAUCCCCGGGCUCAACCCGGGAACUGCGUCCGAUACUGGUGGGCUUGAAUCCGGGAGAGGGAUGCGGAAUUCCAGGUGUAGCGGUGAAAUGCGUAGAUAUCUGGAGGAACACCGGUGGCGAAGGCGGCAUCCUGGACCGGUAUUGACGCUGAGGCGCGAAAGCCAGGGGAGCAAACGGG
RNAcentral lists this ribosomal RNA (253 nucleotides) under uncultured bacterium. RNAcentral describes it as "partial 16S ribosomal RNA". It matches the Rfam family "Bacterial small subunit ribosomal RNA", at positions 524 to 776 of the family's 1533-position model. The record is from RNAcentral.